This 253-nucleotide ribosomal RNA is filed under the name uncultured bacterium. Its description in RNAcentral is "partial 16S ribosomal RNA". It matches the Rfam family "Bacterial small subunit ribosomal RNA", at positions 524 to 776 of the family's 1533-position model. The record is from RNAcentral.
UACGUAGGGUGCAAGCGUUGUCCGGAAUUAUUGGGCGUAAAGAGCUCGUAGGCGGUUUGUCGCGUCUGCUGUGAAAACUCGGGGCUUAACUCCGGGCCUGCAGUGGGUACGGGCAGACUAGAGUGCGGUAGGGGAGGCUGGAAUUCCUGGUGUAGCGGUGAAAUGCGCAGAUAUCAGGAGGAACACCGGUGGCGAAGGCGGGUCUCUGGGCCGUAACUGACGCUGAGGAGCGAAAGCGUGGGGAGCGAACAGG